GGCUCAGGACGAACGCUGGCGGCGUGCCUAAUACAUGCAAGUCGAACGGUCUUUCUAUGGAAGCUUGCUUCCACUGAGAAGAUAGUGGCGAACGGGUGAGUAACACGUGGGUAACCUGCCCAUAAGAGGGGGGAUAACAUCCGGAAACGGGUGCUAAUACCGCAUAGUUUUCUUGAUCGCAUGAUUGAGAAAGGAAAGACGGCCUUUGUGCUGUCGCUUAUGGAUGGACCCGCGGCGUAUUAGUUAGUUGGUGAGGUAACGGCUCACCAAGACGAUGAUACGUAGCCGACCUGAGAGGGUGAUCGGCCACAUUGGGACUGAGACACGGCCCAAACUCCUACGGGAGGCAGCAGUAGGGAAUCUUCCGCAAUGGACGGAAGUCUGACGGAGCAACGCCGCGUGAGUGAAGAAAGGUUUUCGGAUCGUAAAACUCUGUUGUCAGAGAAGAACAAGUUGGAGAGUAACUGCUCCAGCCUUGACGGUAUCUGACCAGAAAGCCACGGCUAACUACGUGCCAGCAGCCGC
Molecule: ribosomal RNA, 525 nt
Filed under: uncultured bacterium
Lineage: Bacteria
Description: bacterial SSU rRNA
Rfam family: Bacterial small subunit ribosomal RNA
Source: RNAcentral